AUUUAUAUAGUAUAUUUGUAUAUAUGACUUCCAAUCAUAAGGACUAUUAAACAAUAAAUAGUGUAAAUA
This 69-nucleotide transfer RNA is filed under the name Platypalpus cursitans. RNAcentral's name for it is "tRNA-Gly". The record is from RNAcentral. Lineage: Eukaryota; Metazoa; Arthropoda; Insecta; Diptera; Hybotidae.